GAUGAAGAACGUAGCGAAAUGCGAUAAGUAAUGUGAAUUGCAGAAUUCAGUGAAUCAUCGAAUCUUUGAACGCACAUUGCGCCCUCUGGUAUUCCGGGGGGCAUGCCUGUUCGAGCGUCAUUAUAACCACUCAAGCUCUCGCUUGGUAUUGGGGCUCGCGGUUCCGCGGCCCCUAAAAUCAGUGGCGGUGCCUGUCGGCUCUACGCGUAGUAAUACUCCUCGCGAUUGAGUCCGGUAGGUCUACUUGCCAGCAACCCCCAAUUUUUACAGGUUGACCUCGGAUCAGGUAGGGAUACCCGCUGAACUUAAGCAUAUCAUAAGCGGAGGA
Molecule: unclassified non-coding RNA, 328 nt
Filed under: soil metagenome
Description: partial contains 5.8S ribosomal RNA, internal transcribed spacer 2, and large subunit ribosomal RNA
Rfam family: 5.8S ribosomal RNA (bases 1-120)
Source: RNAcentral